AACAAGGCGUACCUGCGGACCUGCGGAGGGAUCAUUACCGAGUGUGGUCCCAUAAGGGGCGCCUCCCGUCCUUUGCAGGGCCUUUAGGGGCUUUUUGACUUUGCUUCGGCGGGCUUGCCCCGCCGGAACACCCUCAAGAAAAUCUUUAUGAACCGUUUGUCUGAGUUGCUUGCGAAUAAAACAAAACUUUCAGCAACGGAUCU
This 203-nucleotide unclassified non-coding RNA is filed under the name soil metagenome. RNAcentral's name for it is "partial contains 5.8S ribosomal RNA, internal transcribed spacer 2, and large subunit ribosomal RNA". The record is from RNAcentral.